ACCAUCACCUCCACUCAAAAGCAAUCAACGGCAAUAGAUAGUAGUAAAAGUACGGUGGUUGAAUAAUUUAGAAGCUUUUCGGCUUGUUUCACAGCUUCUUCUCUUUUGUCACUUGACUGAUAGAGCUGUGUGAUGUAUCAGUAACGACGAAGUGAUCAUUUCUGUCGGAUAACCAAAGAUGUGUGACCUUGUCAGGGCCGCGUGACGAAACACCCCGUGAAUACGAUAUUCUAGUAUAAUGCACGAUGACGCGUUUCUUCGACCAAACGGCGGUCAUAUUUGAAGCUGAAGGAAGAGAAAGAUAAUGACAUUGCUGAAUCGAUCGACCGGAUCAAUGAAAGGAAUCGAACGGAUUUACGAAUGAAGUUGAAAAGAA
Molecule: long non-coding RNA, 376 nt
Organism: Cyphomyrmex costatus
Lineage: Eukaryota; Metazoa; Arthropoda; Insecta; Hymenoptera; Formicidae
Exons: 3
Source: RefSeq, a predicted model, not a curated record